Molecule: long non-coding RNA, 263 nt
Organism: Lepus europaeus (European hare)
Lineage: Eukaryota; Metazoa; Chordata; Mammalia; Lagomorpha; Leporidae
Exons: 3
Source: RefSeq, a predicted model, not a curated record
UGAGGAGCCGGUGCAGAGCAGGGCUCCACGCUGUUGAGAGACCAGCAGAGAAACUGUGGUUAGGCAACCUGCUCUGGCGCUGUGUAGACCAUGCUGUGUCAAGAUGCUGUGGCUUUGCCAAAGAAUGGCAGAGUGAUUUAAGGCUCUGGAAGAGCUCAACUGAGCUCAGCCAGCUUGACGAUACCUGGGAUUCUCUCGCCGCACUGCCUCCUCUCAAAUAACACACCAGGUGACUGCACAGUUCGUUCCGUACUAUGGCAAAG